ACGGGAGGCAGCAGUGGGGGAUAUUGCACAAUGGGGGAAACCCUGAUGCAGCAACGCCGCGUGAGUGAUGACGGUCUUCGGAUUGUAAAGCUCUGUCUUUGGGGACGAUAAUGACGGUACCCAAGGAGGAAGCCACGGCUAACUACGUGCCAGCAGCCGCGGUAAUACGUAGGUGGCGAGCGUUGUCCGGAUUUACUGGGUGUAAAGGGCGCGUAGGCGGGGAUGCAAGUCAGAUGUGAAAUCUAUGGGCUUAACUCAUAAACUGCAUUUGAAACUGUAUCUCUUGAGUGCUGGAGAGGUAGAUGGAAUUCCUUGUGUAGCGGUGAAAUGCGUAGAUAUAAGGAAGAACACCAGUGGCGAAGGCGAUCUACUGGACAGUAACUGACGCUGAGGCGCGAAAGCGUGGGGAGCAAACAGGAUUAGAUACCCUGGUA
Molecule: ribosomal RNA, 434 nt
Rfam family: Bacterial small subunit ribosomal RNA